This 1400-nucleotide ribosomal RNA is filed under the name uncultured bacterium. Its description in RNAcentral is "bacterial SSU rRNA". It matches the Rfam family "Bacterial small subunit ribosomal RNA". The record is from RNAcentral.
AGAGUUUGAUCCUGGCUCAGGAUGAACGCUAGCUACAGGCCUAACACAUGCAAGUCGAGGGGCAGCGGGGGCAGAGCUUGCUUUGCCUGCCGGCGACCGGCGCACGGGUGCGUAACGCGUAUCGAACCUCCCCCAUACUCGGGAAUAGCCUUGCGAAAGUAAGAUUAAUGCCCGAUGGUCUCAGAAUAUGACAUCAUGCUUUGAGUAAAGAUUCAUCGGUAUGGGAUGGCGAUGCGUCUGAUUAGAUAGUUGGCGGGGUAACGGCCCACCAAGUCGUCGAUCAGUAGGGGUUCUGAGAGGAAGGUCCCCCACAUUGGAACUGAGACACGGUCCAAACUCCUACGGGAGGCAGCAGUGAGGAAUAUUGGUCAAUGGUCGGAAGACUGAACCAGCCAAGUAGCGUGAAGGAUGACUGCCCUACGGGUUGUAAACUUCUUUUAUGCGGGAAUAAAGUGCCCCACGCGUGGGGUAUUGCAUGUACCGCGUGAAUAAGCAUCGGCUAAUUCCGUGCCAGCAGCCGCGGUAAUACGGAAGAUGCGAGCGUUAUCCGGAUUUAUUGGGUUUAAAGGGUGCGCAGGCGGACCGCUAAGUCAGGGGUGAAAAGUUCGUGCUUAACAUGAAUCGUGCCUUUGAUACUGGCGGACUAGAGUGCGAUAGGCGUGGCCGGAAUGUGGUGUGUAGCGGUGAAAUGCUUAGAUAUGCCACAGAACACCGAUCGAGAAGUCAGGUCACGAGUUCGCAACUGACGCUCAUGCACGAAAGCGUGGGGGUCAAACAGGAUUAGAUACCCUGGUAGUCCACGCAGUAAACGAUGAUAACUUGUUGUCGGCGAUAGAGUGUCGGUGACAAAGCGAAAGCGAUAAGUUAUCCACCUGGGGAGUACGAUCGCAAGGUUGAAACUCAAAGGAAUUGACGGGGGCCCGCACAAGCGGAGGAGCAUGUGGUUUAAUUCGAUGAUACGCGAGGAACCUUACCUGGACUCAAAUGUUGAACGACCGGUCUAGAAAUAGACCUUCCCUUCGGGGCGUUUAGCAAGGUGCUGCAUGGUUGUCGUCAGCUCGUGCCGUGAGGUGUCAGGUUAAGUCCUAUAACGAGCGCAACCCCUACGUCCAGUUGCCAGCGGGUAAAGCCGGGGACUCUGGAGGGACUGCCGGCGCAAGCCGAGAGGAAGGUGGGGAUGACGUCAAAUCAGCACGGCCCUUACGUCCAGGGCGACACACGUGCUACAAUGGCCGGUACAGAGGGCAGCCACCUGGUGACAGGGAGCGAAUCUCGAAAGCCGGUCUCAGUUCGGAUCGGAGUCUGCAACUCGACUCCGUGAAGUUGGAUUCGCUAGUAAUCGCGCAUCAGCCAUGGCGCGGUGAAUACGUUCCCGGGCCUUGCACACACCGCCCGUCAAG